GUCUAUUCCUUUUCCUCAGGUGGGACCGUUCUGUUGUCGACUGGUGGUCUAUUCCUUUUCCUCAGGUGGGAACCGUUCUGUUGUCGACUGGUGGUCUAUUCCUUUUCCUCAGGUGGGACCGUUCUGUUGUCGACUGGUGGUCUAUUCCUUUUCCUCAGGUGGAACCGUUCUGUUGUCGACUGGUGGUCUAUUCCUUUUCCUCAGGUGGGAACCG
Molecule: long non-coding RNA, 214 nt
Organism: Oncorhynchus keta (chum salmon)
Lineage: Eukaryota; Metazoa; Chordata; Actinopteri; Salmoniformes; Salmonidae
Exons: 3
Source: RefSeq, a predicted model, not a curated record